GGGGCCGAAACAGGAUCGACGAACGUCUAAAGGGGUUAGCUUUGUCUCGGCUGGGUGCCACCGUUAUCGGCCUAAAUUGUACAGUUGCAAACGACAACCGUGCUCCGGUGGCCGUUGCUGCGUAAGCAGUAACAACACCGAAACUUAAGUCCUUGCGCCUAGCAGCGUAAGGCGGGGUUCGCAGGCACCUGGCAACAGAAGCCUGCACA
Molecule: transfer-messenger RNA, 209 nt
Filed under: Dinoroseobacter shibae DFL 12 = DSM 16493
Lineage: Bacteria; Pseudomonadati; Pseudomonadota; Alphaproteobacteria; Rhodobacterales; Roseobacteraceae
Description: transfer-messenger RNA Dinor_shiba_DFL12
Rfam family: Alphaproteobacteria transfer-messenger RNA
About the family: Bacterial tmRNA, also known as 10Sa RNA or SsrA, is named for its dual tRNA and mRNA-like properties.
Source: RNAcentral